AUAUGAGGUACAUAUUCAAAGAGGGGUAUUUUGUGGGGUGUUUUUUUUCCUCUAAUAUUUAUUUAUUUAUUUAUUUUGGCUGUGCCGGGUCUUAGUUGCUGCUCACAGGAUCUUCGUUGUGGUGUGUGGGCUUCUGAGCUGUGGCAUGCAUGCAGGAUCUAGUUUCCUGACAAGGGAUUGAACCCAGGCCCCCUGCAUUGGGAGCUCAAGAGUCUUAACUCUCUGGAUAGCCAGGCAGGUCCCAAAGAGGGGUAUUUUGAAAUAGAAAGAAUUUUAAGAAGUCUACGGUCUUUGUAUAAUUGCCAUGACUGAAAAGAUGCCUUAUUUGUCUCACUUAACCAUGAGGUAAUUGUAGAAGAGAUUGGCCAGAAGGUGGUUGGUUGAGAAAAGAAAGGUUGUAGUCAUCACUUUGAGAAUUGUAUUUGUACUGUUAGAGACAGCUGCCAGAGUUUGAAAUAUUCCUUACUAUAUUUGCUUUGCACGUAGAAAUCCCAGUUUACUAUUUGAUCUAAAAGGAGGUGAAAGAGUAGUUUUUUGUUUUGUUUUUGUGGUAAAAACACAUACCAUAAAUUUACCCUUUUAACAGUUUUUAGGUGUCCAUCACGGUGUUGUUGGCUGUAUGCACAAUUGUUGUAUGACAGCUCUUGUCAUCUUGUGUGACUGAAACCCUACCCCCUCCCCUAGCCCCUGGCAGUCACCAUUCUACUUCCUCUUUCUCAGAGUCUGAUCACUUCGGGUGCCUCAUAGAAAUGGAAUCAUAUAGUGUUUCUUUUGUGAUUGGCUUCUUUCACAUAGCAUAAUGCCCUCAAGGUUCAUCCAUCAGUGUUUAAAGUAACACAUGGACUUCUGAUUCCAGUAAUGUGGCAGGUUAGAUAGUCCAUAGUUUCUUACUGCCACAAAACAAGAAGAUUCUCAAUAAACACACUUUUUAAAUAAAUUGCUAGGUGGGGAGGAAGUAAGGAAGACAUCCAGGCUUUCUGUGCUCCCCACCUCCUAAAAAAAGAUUUCAGCAAAUGGCAGAGCUACUCUGAAUACACAUGGCAGUAUCAGCUGUGACAUUUGUAUUCACCUAAUAAAAUAGUCUCAAGGUAUAUAAGGCAAAAAUGAAUAGAAUUACAGAAAUAAAUUGACAAUUCUAUAUUCACAGACUUUUUUUCAUUUAUUUGGUUAAUUUAUUUUUAUUUUUGGCUGUGUUGUGUCUUCGUUGCUGCGCGUGGGCUUUCUCUAGAUGCGGCGAGCGGGGGCUGCUCUUCGUUGCAGUGUGCAGGCUUCUUAAU
This is a long non-coding RNA of Orcinus orca (killer whale), 1277 nucleotides long. RefSeq lists it as uncharacterized. NCBI's taxonomy places the organism in Eukaryota, Metazoa, Chordata, Mammalia, Artiodactyla, Delphinidae. The record is from RefSeq and is a predicted model, not a curated record. The transcript has 2 exons.